Molecule: transfer RNA, 75 nt
Filed under: Paracoccus mutanolyticus
Lineage: Bacteria; Pseudomonadati; Pseudomonadota; Alphaproteobacteria; Rhodobacterales; Paracoccaceae
Description: tRNA-Glu
Rfam family: tRNA
About the family: Transfer RNA (tRNA) molecules are approximately 80 nucleotides in length.
Source: RNAcentral
GGCCCGUUCGUCUAUCGGUUAGGACGUCAGGUUUUCAACCUGAAAAGAGGGGUUCGACUCGGCUUCGGCCCGCCA